Molecule: non-coding RNA, 1069 nt
Organism: Macaca mulatta (Rhesus monkey)
Lineage: Eukaryota; Metazoa; Chordata; Mammalia; Primates; Cercopithecidae
Source: RefSeq, a predicted model, not a curated record
UACUUUUUUUUUUCUUUCCCGGGGAUGACGCUGUGUUUGAGAGGAAUUCAUAAGCAGAAUUGAAUUUGUUUUAGUUAACUCCUUCUUUGAUUGGAAUAUUGUUGACUUAACAAAAUAGUGGAAAGAGCAUUGGGCUGAAGUGAGAAGAUUUGAGUUCUAGUCCAAGAUGUGUUACUAACCAGCUCUUUAACUCUGAGAAGUCAUUUGACUUGAAUUGUAGUCUUUUUCUUAGAUGGGAAAGGUGGAGUAUACUCAGAGUCUCUCCAAAGUGCUAAGAUUCUGUGAUUCUAUGAAAUCAGACCAUCAGAGAGGAAUACUGCAGUGUACUCCUGCAUGGGUUGUAAAUGAGAAAAAAUAAAGAAGGCGAGCAAAAUGACUGAAAGACAUUUUCAAGAAGAAAGGAGGAGAGAAGUCAUUGAAAUGAAAAAAUAAACGUAUUAUAUAACUAUUUAUUGCACUCUGCAAUAAAAACAUCUUCAGCAACAACCACCCAAGUGCGGGUGGAGGGUCUGCUUUGAAGAGAGAAAAAAGGCUACUGCAGAAAAAACAAACCUCAAUGCAUCAUUGGAGCUUUUGUUCUUUCUGGAUUGUUUUGUGAAGAACAUGCUGCCAAAAAAACAUUUUUCUUUCUGUAACUGCUUCUUUGGAGACUCCAUUCGUAUUUGUUUCAAGGAUGUUUAUUAUCUACUCAUUUCUUCUAAUUUAUUUUUGAAUCAUAUACCCCAAUGUCUAGAUGACUGGGACCACUAGGUUUCAUAUUUCCCAGAGGAGAUUAGCUGUACAGUUCAUUUUGCAGGUUUAUUCAGAACAUUUCAAUGGCAUUUCACCUACAGUUCACCUACAUUUAGUCCUAAGAAACUGAAGGUGUUUCUUGCUAGUUUUCCUGCUCCAUCUUCUUCCAGGGGGAUUGAUUUGGCUUCUUAUGUUUUUGUAUUUGGUUGCUCAUUAGAGAUAAGCCUGAUUAUUGGGCAUUGUGCAUUUUCUCUGUUUUAAAAAGGGAAAAUACAGCGUGUUAUUAAUUAUUGUGAUAAAUAAGAAAUGGAGAGAAGGCAAAAGAUUUUCAUCCUGA